UGAGGAAUAUUGGUCAAUGGACGCAAGUCUGAACCAGCCAUGCCGCGUGCAGGAAGACGGCUCUAUGAGUUGUAAACUGCUUUUGUACGAGGGUAAACGCUCUUACGUGUAAGAGCCUGAAAGUAUCGUACGAAUAAGGAUCGGCUAACUCCGUGCCAGCAGCCGCGGUAAUACGGAGGAUCCAAGCGUUAUCCGGAUUUAUUGGGUUUAAAGGGUGCGUAGGCGGUUUGAUAAGUUAGAGGUGAAAUACCGGUGCUUAACACCGGAACUGCCUCUAAUACUGUUGAACUAGAGAGUAGUUGCGGUAGGCGGAAUGUAUGGUGUAGCGGUGAAAUGCUUAGAGAUCAUACAGAACACCGAUUGCGAAGGCAGCUUACCAAACUAUAUCUGACGUUGAGGCACGAAAGCGUGGGGAGCAAACAGGAUUAGAUACCCUGGUAGUCCACGCAGUAAACGAUGAUAACUCGCUGUCGGCGAUACACGGUCGGCGGCUAAGCGAAAGCGAUAAGUUAUCCACCUGGGGAGUACGUUCGCAAGAAUGAAACUCAAAGGAAUUGACGGGGGCCCGCACAAGCGGAGGAACAUGUGGUUUAAUUCGAUGAUACGCGAGGAACCUUACCCGGGCUUGAAAGUUACUGACGAUUCUGGAAACAGGAUUUCCCUUCGGGGCAGGAAACUAGGUGCUGCAUGGUUGUCGUCAGCUCGUGCCGUGAGGUGUCGGGUUAAGUCCCAUAACGAGCGCAACCCCUACCGUUAGUUGCCAUCAGGUCAAGCUGGGCACUCUGGCGGGACUGCCGGUGUAAGCCGAGAGGAAGGUGGGGAUGACGUCAAAUCAGCACGGCCCUUACGUCCGGGGCUACACACGUGUUACAAUGGUAGGUACAGAGGGCAGCUACCCAGUGAUGGGAUGCGAAUCUCGAAAGCCUAUCUCAGUUCGGAUCGGAGGCUGAAACCCGCCUCCGUGAAGUUGGAUUCGCUAGUAAUCGCGCAUCAGCCAUGGCGCGGUGAAUACGUUCCC
RNAcentral lists this ribosomal RNA (1018 nucleotides) under uncultured bacterium. RNAcentral describes it as "bacterial SSU rRNA". It matches the Rfam family "Bacterial small subunit ribosomal RNA", at positions 355 to 1375 of the family's 1533-position model. The record is from RNAcentral.